This 450-nucleotide ribosomal RNA is filed under the name uncultured bacterium. RNAcentral's name for it is "partial 16S ribosomal RNA". It matches the Rfam family "Bacterial small subunit ribosomal RNA", at positions 338 to 795 of the family's 1533-position model. The record is from RNAcentral.
UCUACGGGAGGCUGCAGUGGGGAAUAUUGGACAAUGGGCGCAAGCCUGAUCCAGCAAUGCCGCGUGUGUGAAGAAGGCCUUCGGGUUGUAAAGCACUUUUAUCAGGAGCGAAAUGCCAUGGGCCAAUACCCCGUGGAGCUGACGGUACCUGAGGAAUAAGCACCGGCUAACUUCGUGCCAGCAGCCGCGGUAAUACGAAGGGUGCAAGCGUUAAUCGGAAUUAGUGGGGGUAAUGCGUGCGUAGGCGGUUGAAAUCCCCGGGCUCAACCUGGGAAUGGCAAUGGAUACUGGCGGGCUAGAGUGUGUCAGAGGAUGGUGGAAUUCCCGGUGUAGCGGUGAAAUGCGUAGAGAUCGGGAGGAACAUCAGUGGCGAAGGCGGCCAUCUGGGACAACACUGACGCUGAAGCACGAAAGCGUGGGGAGCAAACAGGAUUAGAUACCCCAGUAGUC